RNAcentral lists this unclassified non-coding RNA (205 nucleotides) under Hevea brasiliensis (rubber tree). The record is from RNAcentral. Lineage: Eukaryota; Viridiplantae; Streptophyta; Magnoliopsida; Malpighiales; Euphorbiaceae.
GAAAAGAAAAAGCAUCAGUUGUAAUGAGUUAAUACUGCAGAACAGUGUCUUAUCACACAUAUCAUGUAAUAAUUGUGUCCUUGCCACUGAAUUCUUCAGAUAGUUGGUAAGCUCGAGGAUGUGAUGCAGAAAGAUUAAACUUUCAGGAAUGGGCAUUUUUUUGGUUGCAGGGAUGUUUUUCUUAAUCCAGUUCAAUAUAGGUCAG